AUGAACGCUGGCGGCGUGCCUAAUCCAUGCAAGUCGAGCGCACAGACGAGGAGCUUGCUCCUCUGACGUUAGCGGCGGACGGGUGAGUAACACGUGGAUAACCUACCUAUAAGACUGGGAUAACUUCGGGAAACCGGAGCUAAUACCGGAUAAUAUAUUGAACCGCAUGGUUCAAUAGUGAAAGACGGUUUUGCUGUCACUUAUAGAUGGAUCCGCGCCGCAUUAGCUAGUUGGUAAGGUAACGGCUUACCAAGGCAACGAUGCGUAGCCGACCUGAGAGGGUGAUCGGCCACACUGGAACUGAGACACGGUCCAGACUCCUACGGGAGGCAGCAGUAGGGAAUCUUCCGCAAUGGGCGAAAGCUUGACGGAGCAACGCCGCGUGAGUGAUGAAGGUCUUCGGAUCGUAAAACUCUGUUAUUAGGGAAGAACAAAUGUGUAAGUAACUAUGCACGUCUUGACGGUACCUAAUCAGAAAGCCACGGCUAACUACGUG
This 496-nucleotide ribosomal RNA is filed under the name uncultured bacterium. RNAcentral describes it as "partial 16S ribosomal RNA". It matches the Rfam family "Bacterial small subunit ribosomal RNA", at positions 29 to 507 of the family's 1533-position model. The record is from RNAcentral.